RNAcentral lists this ribosomal RNA (497 nucleotides) under uncultured bacterium. Its description in RNAcentral is "partial 16S ribosomal RNA". It matches the Rfam family "Bacterial small subunit ribosomal RNA", at positions 28 to 507 of the family's 1533-position model. The record is from RNAcentral.
GAUGAACGCUGGCGGCGUGCCUAAUACAUGCAAGUCGAGCGAACAGACGAGGAGCUUGCUCCUCUGACGUUAGCGGCGGACGGGUGAGUAACACGUGGAUAACCUACCUAUAAGACUGGGAUAACUUCGGGAAACCGGAGCUAAUACCGGAUAAUAUAUUGAACCGCAUGGUUCAAUAGUGAAAGACGGUUUUGCUGUCUCUUAUAGAUGGAUCCGCGCCGCAUUAGCUAGUUGGUAAGGUAACGGCUUACCAAGGCAACGAUGCGUAGCCGACCUGAGAGGGUGAUCGGCCACACUGGAACUGAGACACGGUCCAGACUCUUACGGGAGGCAGCAGUAGGGAAUCUUCCGCAAUGGGCGAAAGCUUGACGGAGCAACGCCGCGUGAGUGAUGAAGGUCUUCGGAUCGUAAAACUCUGUUAUUAGGGAAGAACAAAUGUGUAAGUAACUAUGCACGUCUUGACGGUACCUAAUCAGAAAGCCACGGCUAACUACGUG